GCCGCGUGCUCCCGAUGUGUGGCCGUGCGCCCGUGCGUGCGCUCUUCUCCGGCCACGACGGGAGCGAUUCCAUGGGCGGUGCGUGGGUCGGCCCGCUG
This 98-nucleotide small RNA is filed under the name Streptomyces lividans TK24. RNAcentral's name for it is "non-coding RNA of unknown function". The record is from RNAcentral. Lineage: Bacteria; Bacillati; Actinomycetota; Actinomycetes; Kitasatosporales; Streptomycetaceae.